RNAcentral lists this small RNA (145 nucleotides) under Marmota monax (woodchuck). Lineage: Eukaryota; Metazoa; Chordata; Mammalia; Rodentia; Sciuridae. The record is from RNAcentral.
UGCAAAUUAGAAAAAGUUGCCCUUCUUCAUCUGCUUGAAAAUUGUCAUAAUAAUUUCCUUUUAUUAAAACCAGAUAUAUCAUUGUCAUCUGUUAGAUAGGUGUGUGUGUGUGUGUGUGUGUGUGUGUGUGUGUGUGCAAAUGCAA